RNAcentral lists this long non-coding RNA (880 nucleotides) under Ananas comosus (pineapple). RNAcentral describes it as "long non-coding RNA (ACOM_LNC001406)". The record is from RNAcentral. Lineage: Eukaryota; Viridiplantae; Streptophyta; Magnoliopsida; Poales; Bromeliaceae.
GCACAUACACAUAUAUAUAUAUGGAGUCCGACUACUAUACUCUCAUUAGUAUGAUCGCAUUCGUACUCAUAAAGUCAUUUUUGAUGAUAGAACUUCCGAAUCAAUGAUACCAUUAAAUAUUAUCUAAAAUAUUUGAAAUUUUUAAAAAUCAAAUUUCAUAAUUUUUUGACAUUAUUUACCUUGCGAUCAAAAAAUCUCAAAGUUGAUAACUUUUAACUGCUGAUAUUGAAUAUUUGCUAGUUUUACGGUGCAAAAGAUAUGAAAUCAGUUGAUUUUUUUUAUAGAAAAUUUUAUUCACUGUCUAGAUAAAAUCAAUAACUCCAAUCUUAAAUUAAAGAAUUCAAUCCUCUAAUUUUAGGAGAUUGUUCGAUUUCGACUGUUUANAUUAUACUAUUCAACCAAUCACUCAUUCAAUUCUAAGAGAUUACUAUCAUUCUAACCGGAGACCAUUAUAUUUUAAUCGCAUAUCCUUUUAUUCACUGUCUAGAUAAAAUCAAUAACUCCAAUCUUAAAUUAAAGAAUUCAAUCCUCUAAUUUUAGGAGAUUGUUCGAUUUCGACUGUUUAUUUUAUGUCUGCUUGAUAGAUUUUAUUAUAAUUUCAAAAAAUAUAAUCUAUCAAGUACUUCUUUGUAUUGAGUUUUCGGCCGUUAGAUAAAAGGAUAUGCGAUUAAAAUAUAAUGGUCUCCGGUUAGAAUGAUAGUAAUCUCUUAGAAUUGAAUGAGUGAUUGGUUGAAUAGUAUAAUCUAACGGACAGAAAUGAUCAAAGGGUACUAACGGACGGAAAUGAUCAAAGGGUAAAUUUAACAGCAGAAAACUUGAUAGUAUCGAGAGCUUGGUGCUAUCCAUAGUAUAGUAGCCGGACUCUCUCUCUCUCUCUCUC